AGUGAACGCUGGCGGUAGGCCUAACACAUGCAAGUCGAACGGCAGCACAGUAAGAGCUUGCUCUUACGGGUGGCGAGUGGCGGACGGGUGAGGAAUACAUCGGAAUCUACUUUUUCGUGGGGGAUAACGUAGGGAAACUUACGCUAAUACCGCAUACGACCUACGGGUGAAAGCAGGGGAUCUUCGGACCUUGCGCGAUUGAAUGAGCCGAUGUCGGAUUAGCUAGUUGGCGGGGUAAAGGCCCGCCAAGGCGACGAUCCGUAGCUGGUCUGAGAGGAUGAUCAGCCACACUGGAACUGAGACACGGUCCAGACUCCUACGGGAGGCAGCAGUGGGGAAUAUUGGACAAUGGGCGCAAGCCUGAUCCAGCCAUACCGCGUGGGUGAAGAAGGCCUUCGGGUUGUAAAGCCCUUUUGUUGGGAAAGAAAAGCAGCAGGUUAAUACCCCGCUGUUCUGACGGUACCCAAAGAAUAAGCACCGGCGAACUUCGU
Molecule: ribosomal RNA, 491 nt
Filed under: uncultured bacterium
Lineage: Bacteria
Description: partial 16S ribosomal RNA
Rfam family: Bacterial small subunit ribosomal RNA
Source: RNAcentral